This is a non-coding RNA of Triticum aestivum (bread wheat), 135 nucleotides long. NCBI's taxonomy places the organism in Eukaryota, Viridiplantae, Streptophyta, Magnoliopsida, Poales, Poaceae. The record is from Rfam.
UUUGUACUCCCUCCAUCCCAAAAUUCUUGUCUUAAAUCUAUCUAAAUACGGGUGUAUCUAGUUACAUUUUAGUGUUAGAUACAUCCGUAUCUAAACAAAUGUAAGACAAGAAUUUUGGGGCAGAGGGAAUACUAC